RNAcentral lists this ribosomal RNA (255 nucleotides) under Nocardia amamiensis. RNAcentral's name for it is "partial 16S ribosomal RNA". It matches the Rfam family "Bacterial small subunit ribosomal RNA", at positions 335 to 602 of the family's 1533-position model. Lineage: Bacteria; Bacillati; Actinomycetota; Actinomycetes; Mycobacteriales; Nocardiaceae. The record is from RNAcentral.
ACUCCUACGGGAGGCAGCAGUGGGGAAUAUUGCACAAUGGGCGAAAGCCUGAUGCAGCGACGCCGCGUGAGGGAUGACGGCCUUCGGGUUGUAAACCUCUUUCGACAGGGACGAAGCGCAAGUGACGCUACCUGUAGAAGAAGCACCGGCCAACUACGUGCCAGCAGCCGCGGUAAUACGUAGGGUGCGAGCGUUGUCCGGAAUUACUGGGCGUAAAGAGCUUGUAGGCGGUUUGUCGCGUCGUCUGUGAAAACU